GGGGAUGUAAUUCAGUUGGUAGAAUGCUAACUUUGCACGUUAGAAGCCUAGGUUCGAUUCCUAGUAUCUCCA
This is a transfer RNA of Drechmeria coniospora, 72 nucleotides long. It matches the Rfam family "tRNA". From Rfam's summary of the family: Transfer RNA (tRNA) molecules are approximately 80 nucleotides in length. Their secondary structure includes four short double-helical elements and three loops (D, anti-codon, and T loops). Further hydrogen bonds mediate the characteristic L-shaped molecular structure. tRNAs have two regions of fundamental functional importance: the anti-codon, which is responsible for specific mRNA codon recognition, and the 3' end, to which the tRNAs corresponding amino acid is attached (by aminoacyl-tRNA synthetases). tRNAs cope with the degeneracy of the genetic code in two manners: having more than one tRNA (with a specific anti-codon) for a particular amino acid; and 'wobble' base-pairing, i.e. permitting non-standard base-pairing at the 3rd anti-codon position. The record is from Rfam. NCBI's taxonomy places the organism in Eukaryota, Fungi, Ascomycota, Sordariomycetes, Hypocreales, Ophiocordycipitaceae.